UCCUCAAUAGCUCAAAGGUAGAGCGAUCGGCUGUUAACCGAUUGGUCGUAGGUUCGAAUCCUAUUUGAGGAG
RNAcentral lists this transfer RNA (72 nucleotides) under Cuscuta strobilacea. Its description in RNAcentral is "tRNA-Asn". It matches the Rfam family "tRNA". Rfam says of the family: Transfer RNA (tRNA) molecules are approximately 80 nucleotides in length. Their secondary structure includes four short double-helical elements and three loops (D, anti-codon, and T loops). Further hydrogen bonds mediate the characteristic L-shaped molecular structure. tRNAs have two regions of fundamental functional importance: the anti-codon, which is responsible for specific mRNA codon recognition, and the 3' end, to which the tRNAs corresponding amino acid is attached (by aminoacyl-tRNA synthetases). tRNAs cope with the degeneracy of the genetic code in two manners: having more than one tRNA (with a specific anti-codon) for a particular amino acid; and 'wobble' base-pairing, i.e. permitting non-standard base-pairing at the 3rd anti-codon position. Lineage: Eukaryota; Viridiplantae; Streptophyta; Magnoliopsida; Solanales; Convolvulaceae. The record is from RNAcentral.